This 468-nucleotide ribosomal RNA is filed under the name uncultured Sphingomonas sp. RNAcentral's name for it is "bacterial SSU rRNA". It matches the Rfam family "Bacterial small subunit ribosomal RNA", at positions 9 to 524 of the family's 1533-position model. Lineage: Bacteria; Pseudomonadati; Pseudomonadota; Alphaproteobacteria; Sphingomonadales; Sphingomonadaceae. The record is from RNAcentral.
GAGUUGAUCAUGGCUCAGAAUGAACGCUGGCGGCAUGCCUAACACAUGCAAGUCGAACGAAGCCUUCGGGCCUAGUGGCGCACGGGUGCGUAACGCGUGGGAAUCUGCCCCUUGGUUCGGAAUAACAGUUGGAAACGACUGCUAAUACCGGAUGAUGACGAAAGUCCAAAGAUUUAUCGCCGAGGGAUGAGCCCGCGUAGGAUUAGGUAGUUGGUGAGGUAAAGGCUCACCAAGCCGAUGAUCCUUAGCUGGUCUGAGAGGAUGAUCAGCCACACUGGGACUGAGACACGGCCCAGACUCCUACGGGAGGCAGCAGUGGGGAAUAUUGGACAAUGGGCGAAAGCCUGAUCCAGCAAUGCCGCGUGAGUGAUGAAGGCUUUUGGGUUGUAAAGCUCUUUUACCCGGGAUGAUAAUGACAGUACCGGGAGAAUAAGCCCCGGCUAACUCCGUGCCAGCAGCCGCGGUAAU